GCUUGACUGUAGCUUGUAAUUGGGUCGGCUUUUUUUGCGCAGCCUAGGUGGGAGGCAACGAUGAUUUUUUCCGGAAAAAUUUGAGCCGUUAGUGAGAGACCACUCUGAAAAGGCUAGAAUCCUAAUAAUGAUCCUUGAAUCAGGACAUUUGACAGUUGCAGGUGGGCAGUUUUACUGGGCGGUAUUCUCCUAAAAAGUAACGGAGGGUGCAAAGGUUCCUCAAGCUGGACGGAAAUCAGCUUAAGAGUGUAAAGGCAAAAGGGAGCUUGACUGCAAGACCUACAAGUCGAGCAGGGGCGAAAGCCGGCCUUAGUGAUCCGACGGUACCACGUGGAAGGGCCGUCGCUCAACGGAUAAAAGUUA
Molecule: ribosomal RNA, 363 nt
Filed under: uncultured alga
Lineage: Eukaryota
Description: bacterial LSU rRNA
Rfam family: Bacterial large subunit ribosomal RNA
Source: RNAcentral